This is a ribosomal RNA of Lepisosteus oculatus (spotted gar), 119 nucleotides long. NCBI's taxonomy places the organism in Eukaryota, Metazoa, Chordata, Actinopteri, Semionotiformes, Lepisosteidae. The record is from Ensembl.
GCCAGCAGUCAUAUCACCCUGCAACUCACAACUGGCAACCCACUGAAGCUAAGCAGGUGUGAGCCUGGUCAGUACCUGGAUGGGAGACCUCCUUGGAAAAACUAAGGUUGCUGCUGGAA